This 50-nucleotide transfer RNA is filed under the name Fragariocoptes setiger. Its description in RNAcentral is "tRNA-Ser". The record is from RNAcentral. Lineage: Eukaryota; Metazoa; Arthropoda; Arachnida; Trombidiformes; Phytoptidae.
AAGGAAGGAGUUCUUAGAGCUUCUAACUCUUAAAUUUUAACCCUUCUAUU